GUAGCUCAGGUGGUUAGAGCGCACGCCUGAUAAGCGUGAGGUCGGUGGUUCGAGUCCACUC
This 61-nucleotide transfer RNA is filed under the name Streptococcus sanguinis. RNAcentral's name for it is "tRNA-Ile". It matches the Rfam family "tRNA", at positions 7 to 64 of the family's 71-position model. From Rfam's summary of the family: Transfer RNA (tRNA) molecules are approximately 80 nucleotides in length. The record is from RNAcentral. Lineage: Bacteria; Bacillati; Bacillota; Bacilli; Lactobacillales; Streptococcaceae.